Labeo rohita (rohu) is the source of this 582-nucleotide long non-coding RNA. RefSeq lists it as uncharacterized. The transcript is spliced from 3 exons. The record is from RefSeq and is a predicted model, not a curated record. NCBI's taxonomy places the organism in Eukaryota, Metazoa, Chordata, Actinopteri, Cypriniformes, Cyprinidae.
CUCUGUUUUCAUUGCCCUGUUUUUGUCAUUGCUACGGUUUUGUUUUAUAUUCAUAGUUUUGCUUUUGUUUUUCCAUAGUUCUGUCUAGUUUUGCUAUCGUUCCUUUCCUUGUUUAUUUGUUACUUUUUGGACUGCUCUCUCUGGUUAUUGGACUCUGCCUGCCUUGUCUUCGUCACUCUGUUUGUCUGGAUACUGACCCUGCCUGUCUGACUAUUAAAAGCUCGCACUUGGAUCUUACACGCUUCCUACGAGUCCUGCUUGUUACAUCUAUAUCCUCUAAAAAGACAAACGUGAGAGAGACAAGUGCUUAUACUCAUAAAUCAGGGGCGGGAUCAGGAAAGGUCCUCGAGUCGGGAUUCGCACACAGGACGCCCAGAGUGCAACGGCGCUGUAUGUCGGCGCGCUGCCCAGAAGAUUGUGGUAUCGUCCUCCCGUCCCAGUAUUUUAUAUUUAAUAAAAUGAAUGACUUGAAAACCACAAAAAUACAAUGACUUCACGUUGAAUGUCAACUCCAUCACUGGCACAUCACCACUGUCAGACAGAAAAUCGUACGGUGGUGACAUCUGAAGGUGUUGACAAAUU